This is a long non-coding RNA of Populus euphratica (Euphrates poplar), 1001 nucleotides long. RefSeq lists it as uncharacterized. Lineage: Eukaryota; Viridiplantae; Streptophyta; Magnoliopsida; Malpighiales; Salicaceae. The transcript has 2 exons. The record is from RefSeq and is a predicted model, not a curated record.
UUUACUAAAAACAGGUGGACUUGCGGCAUAAAUUAGCAUUAUGCUAACUAGGUAGCUACUGAUCUUGAUGCACGUGCAGUUAGGUUUGCUUCAUUUUUUUUUUAAUGGCUUUAAAAUUUGAUGAAGCAUCCUAAUUAAAGAGACCACCCAGUUCCAAGCCAAGCUGUCUCAGAUUCUCCUUUUCUACAACUUCCAAUUACAAUACAAGAUGGUGUUGGCUUGGCUAGGUGCUCCUAACCGAUGUGGGGUUCCUCUCUGGACGCCGAUCCCGUGUCCCUGUCGUUUCCACCGGUCAAAAUUUCUGUGGCUUGGAGAUGUCACUGAUCCUACUACCAUUAAUCCCACUUGUCUAUUUUGUGUCUUGUUAGCUAAAAGUCAUGCAAAGAAAGACUAGAGACAUGAAACAGCAUUAAACAACUUGAAUUAAUCCAAUUUCAAUUUCAUAAUAUGGAUACAGAACAUACAUAAUCGGAAGUUCUUGCUCAAUUUCACUAGGCUUACCAGCCGAUUUAAGUUUUCAUCGAGUACAGAAACGAGGCCAUGCCUGCUCUGCCCAGUUAAAUGACACCCCAUCCCUCGGCAAACUAUUUACUUGCAGAGGAAAAGCUUGCUUUGACCAAAUGUAACAAAUCUGAGUUAUCAAUGAUUCUGUCAAAGAAAACAAAAGGGCGAUCGGAAAGUUUAUUUUGUACACUGUCUACCCUACCCAUCAAACGAACCAUGUUGUUCAUUGCCUUAUCUUUUCUUUUUCAAUCAAGAUCAUCAGCUUGCACUGAAAUAUACAGUUUACUAUAUCUUCCGAGGCUAUACACCAAUAUACAUUAUGAAAACUAUACGAUGGACACGAAUCAUAGCAAAGGAAACAGAACGAAUAUGUUUUUAUUGCAAGUAAAAAGAGGUCGAACAAGAAAAAAUUUCUCCGAGGGCGGUAGCAGAGAGUAUGAUAUUUCCUUGCAUGAAGCAUAGUCAGUCAAGUGUUCUUCUCCAAAACAGAUAGUGCU